RNAcentral lists this transfer RNA (69 nucleotides) under Drosophila melanica. RNAcentral describes it as "tRNA-Met". It matches the Rfam family "tRNA". From Rfam's summary of the family: Transfer RNA (tRNA) molecules are approximately 80 nucleotides in length. Lineage: Eukaryota; Metazoa; Arthropoda; Insecta; Diptera; Drosophilidae. The record is from RNAcentral. RNAcentral also lists the same sequence under 75 other names.
AAAAAGAUAAGCUAAUUAAGCUACUGGGCUCAUACCCCAUUUAUAAAGGUUCUAAUCCUUUUCUUUUUA